RNAcentral lists this long non-coding RNA (3457 nucleotides) under Gossypium barbadense (sea-island cotton). Its description in RNAcentral is "long non-coding RNA (GBAR_LNC015436)". The record is from RNAcentral. Lineage: Eukaryota; Viridiplantae; Streptophyta; Magnoliopsida; Malvales; Malvaceae.
UUACAAUACUCAAUUCAACCCCAGUUAGAGUGGGUUUGGCAUAAUUGUACAUAGUACGAGGAACAAAAGUAGGAUUUACAGGAUUUGUAGGAACUGCAAGAGGUAGCUAAAUAUCUUGGUUAUCACUUAUAUCCUCAGUAAUUAUAAUGUCCUCUUGUUCGCCUAUUAAAUUUUGUCGACUCUACUUUGCUUCUCUACGGUUUUUGCGAGCUGUACUUUCAAUUUCACUGUCAAAUAACAAUGGUCCCGAUGGGUUUCUUCUUGUCAUAAACUAAAAGAACCAGCCAGAAGUAAAUAAAAUAAAAAUUAGAACGUAAAAAUUAAACUAAAAACAAAAAUUAAAUUAAAUUAAUGGCUAAAUUAAUAAAAAUAAAGUGUUACUAAUAUUUUAGUCCCCGGUAACGGCGUCAAAAACUUGAUGGUCACUAAACUAACUAUAAAUAUGAAAAAGGCAAGCGCACCUAUCAAACAAUAGUUAGCUACGGUGAAUAAAGAUAUCGUAUCCACGAGGACUAAAAGUAUUAGUAAUUACUGUUUUUCUACUAUUUAGCCGACAAAUUAGAGUGAUGUGUUUUAAUCUAAAAUUACUAAACUAAUUUAUCUAAGAACGCAACAGAGAAUGAAUCAAGAAAAUAAUCAAAUAUUAACCAAUGAGAUAGACAAUACCCAGGAAAGAAUUCACCUAGACUUCACCUAUUAUUAUGAAUCUGAAUUAAACGAUUUAUUCACUUGUGUCUUGAUCCGUAAAAAUCCCCAAAUUAUGUUAACAUCUCUUUCGAGAGUAAGAACAACUGACUCUAGGUUGAUUAAUUGAAAUCUCUUUCUAAUUAAAAUCUCUAUCAUCGUAUUAACUCGAUCUAUGGACUCCCUUAUUAGAUUUGACUUUAAUCCGAUAGAUUUAUGUCGUCCUAUUUCUAGAAUUGCAUGCAACUCCAAUCAAUUAUGCUAGAUCUACUCUUAAACAGAGACUUUUGCUCCACUGAAUUAAGCAUAUUAAACAUGAAUUAAUAUCCUAAAAUAUUAAAACAAGAAUAAUAAAAGGAUUCAUCAUAGGUUUCAUCCUCCCUAGGUAUCUAGGGAAUUAGUUCAUACCCUUGAAUGAAAACAUCUCAAAGUCAGAAAAAGCACAAGACAUAAAGAAACUCAAUAAAACUUCGAAAGAAGUUAAAAGGAGAUUUUUAAUCUUGAUGGAGAUCCGGUUCCGAGUUGGUUUUGAUGGUGUUCUUUGAGUGCUUUUUUCGAUCUUCUCUGAUGGCUCUCUAUGUCUUCUUCUAAUUGGCAUUUAUAGACUUUAGAAUGCUCAGAAAGCCAAAAAUUGGGCUUCUCCACGUAUUUGGGAAGCAGGGUGCGAAAUCGACAAGGGCUAGCACAUGGGCAUGUGUCCAGCUUGUGUGGAAAUGCCCAGGCCGUGUGGCUCUUGAAAACGGCUUUAUUUUUCCAAUUUUGGCUCGGUUUUUGUUCCUUUCACUCCCAAAUGCUCUCCUAAGUAUAAAAAUAUGAAUUUAAAGGAUUAGAAGCAUCAAAUCCACUAAUUUGCAUAAUUAAUCAUCCAAAAACGCAUUAAGAAUGAAAUUAAAAUAUGUUACUUUUAUAUCUUAUCAAAAAUGUUAUCAAUUUGUAUCGAUACUUAUCAAAGUAUCGAUACCAAUUUGGCAUUCUGUUUAUUUUGAAAAAAAUUUAUUUGAGCAAGUAUCAUUACCUAAUGUCAUAGUAUCGAUACUUUUCGCUAAACUUAGUAAAAAUCACUUUUUAAAAACUUUUAUUCCAUGCUCAAACAUAAUGUCGAAUGACCAAUAGUCCGUUCAGUUUUAAAAACACAUUUUUAUGGAAAACAUUAGUUUGUUUUAGUAAUUCAUUUAUUCAAUCUCAAUUCCAAAUUUGUUAUAAAAAAUUAUAAGUAAUGGAGUCCAUACCACAUUCCAUUUAACAAAUCCAAAAUCCAAAUAGAGUUUAUGAAAUAGUUUAGAAAUAAGUUUUAAGUAAAAUCCGACGACAGUGCUCCGAGUGUCGAGUCCGAGCCCUAACCUCAUAAAUUAUCUGAAAAGAUGGGAAAAUUAAUGAGUGAGCUAUGAAGCUCAGUAUGGUCAUAACACAUAAGCAGUGAGUAUAUAAAGUAGUAAAUAACAUAAUACAAGGUUGCAAUAUGCAAUACAUAUUAGUAUCACGAUAUUCACAGAAAAACGAUAACUACUAGCAUGCUUAUAAAUAUUAGUGUAGUACACUACCCAAUCCAGCCCUACACACCACAGUAAGAGUUCCUCAGAACUCGUCCAACCCUACAAUCCAAAACAGUAUUUUGAGGAUGAGUUGCUAGUAAAUCAGUAGGAGCCUUAGCUUAUGUGGAUGAACCACCAAUAGAUGAUCGAUGAACCGAUUCGACAUGUAAUGCUUGAACUUCCUCCUUCAACAACCCAAACCCCAAUGCAUUAGUAUGACAUGCUAUCGAUGUCAGAAAGCAGUAACAGUUUUAACAUGCUAUUAUCAUGCAAACAGUAACAGUUUGUUGGUUAAGUAGUAACAGUAAUCAUGCAUCAGUUAUAUAUGCGGGAUUAACACUGAAUCAACAUUAUACACAUAUUCAACAUUAACGAUUCAAAAAAAUGGAAGCAUACUACAACUAGAUCUACCAUACACAGUCUCGUUUACCACUGAGUCGAUUCGUUGGUUUCUCAAUACCACAUCAAAGAAUAUUUUUCAACCAGAUCUAAAGUUACCUAUUACAAUCGAAACCAUUAGAAUGAAAUAACUAACAUUAACUAAUAAAAUCAGCAAGAAAAACACAAAAAUAGGCACUCAUACAUAACACACACAAAAGCACAUGGUUAGACACACACCUUCACCCACACGCUUGUGCGACACUUCACUCCUCCGGUGGACUCAUACGAUUCAGAUAUGCUCUGAACCCGUCAUCAUUCGGUCCUUCAAAUGGUAUACACACAAAUAACAACACAUUAGCAAUCGACAUAAAUUAGAUUCAGGAAUCGAAGAAACCUGAUUAAUCAAUAUGGAAGUGAAAUAAAUCAUACACACGAUUUAUUUAUUCGAAAACCAAAUCUUACCCAUGGAUCGGAAUGUUUACACUUACUAAUCUACCGUUAGGGUCAUAAUCGUGCAAAAUAGAAUAGAGAGGCAAAUAUACAAAGCUAUUAGUGCAAAUGAACCGAACGAUUGAUAAUGAUUCGGGGGAAAAAAAGAAUCGGCAACCCAAGAGGGGUGCAAGAAACGGAAACUAAGAAGAAAAGCAAGGAAGAAUAAGAACAAGAGAAAAGAGAAAAGAAGGGUGAAGUGAGGAGAAAAUGGCCAAGGGAAAAAGUGAAGAGAGGAAAACAAGUUUAAGGGUGGCAGCAAAAACAAAAGAAUGAGAAGAGGGGGCCGACCAAAUAAAAUUACACUUAAAUACCUAGGGUUUUGGCACACUAGGGUUUUCUACACUACAAAAUGCGAAGGUAUCUAUACU